UACGGGGGGGGCAAGCGUUGUUCGGAAUUACUGGGCAUAAAGGGCUCGUAGGUGGCCAACUAAGUCAGACGUGAAAUCCCUCGGCUUAACCGGGGAACUGCGUCUGAUACUGGAUGGCUUGAGUUUGGGAGAGGGAUGCGGAAUUCCAGGUGUAGCGGUGAAAUGCUUAGAUAUGACAUAGAAUACCGAUAGCGAAGGCAGCUUACUACAUGUUAACUGACGCUGAGGCACGAAAGCGUGGGGAGCAAACAGG
This 253-nucleotide ribosomal RNA is filed under the name uncultured bacterium. RNAcentral describes it as "partial 16S ribosomal RNA". It matches the Rfam family "Bacterial small subunit ribosomal RNA", at positions 524 to 776 of the family's 1533-position model. The record is from RNAcentral.